CUCAAUUCUCUCUCAACUAUUUCUUUGUUCUCUUUCUCUUUCUUCUCUAAUUUUUCCCUACUUCUCUCAUAAUUCUCUAACAGGGUUCCUUAACCCUAACAUAGAGAGUUACUCAAUUAAUUAGAGUAUUAAGAGAAGAUUAUUUUACAAAAUCCCAUAGACCCAAUCUUAGUUUCCACUUUCAAUUAAAAUCUAUGAUAGUUGCUAUAAAAUCAAACUCAUAAUCUUGUUUUCUAACCAUAGAUUACAAAUCCAAAAAUCAUUCAAGUAUUUGGCCAAAAUACCCAAAAACAUUAAACACAAAGUAGCAACUAAUAACAAAGUAGAAAAAAUUAAAUCAAAAUCUAGAGAUUAACAUCAAGUCAAGCUACAUCAAAAAUCCCUAGCUAAAAGAUUUAGCCACUCAUAAUAUCAAAAACAAAAACAAAAUUUUUCAAAUUAAAACCCAACAUUAUCUCUCAACAAUGAUAAUAGAAGAAACUAAGAUAAAGAAAUGAAGAGAAGAAGAAAACUCUAAGAAGAAAACUCUAUUGUUGAUGCCAAUGUCUUCCUUCAAGUUUUCCCAAAUCACUUCUCUUGAGUCUCUUUCUUUUUCCCAAAUUUUGAGAAAAAAAUAAGUGUUGAAAACCCCCAAAUCUAUUCUCCUCUCCAUCCUCCACAAAAAACCCUCUUAACUAACUCUUAUUUUGGCCCUUCUUAUCCUUUUGACGAGUUGUCAAGGGCUUAUUGGGUGAAAAAGAGCUGGAAAUAACAUUUCCCAGGCAUAUUGUGCGCCUCUGAUGAUUCUCCAAGGUAGGCCAUGUGCCUUUUUACAUCUUUCAGGCAAGCUGUGUGAUUUGGCCUAAUCUCACAGGCAGACCAUGAGAUGCACUGCCAAAAAAAUAACUUCACAAUUUUUCUCUUCUUAUAACCUGGUUGUAGGAUUUCUUCAAUUUUCUUUGCCAGGGUGUGAGAUAUAUUGCUUGAAACACUCAAUUUAACCUUCAAAAUUUCUUUUUCUCUAAUUUUUGACACUAGAAAGCUCUUUUAAGUCAAUCCUUGCAAUAAAAUAAUAAAAAGUAAUUAAAUGAAAUAAAAUAAAUUUGAAACUAAUUAAUCUAAAAAUAUUAACAAAAAUUAACUAAAAGACGAAAAUUGAUAAUAUAAAGAUAAAUAAAAACUAUAUAAAAGAGUUAUGUAUAUUUGCUUCAAGGUAACUCUCAUAAAAAUUGCAUACUUCUAACAAAAAAAAAGGCAAGAAAAGCGGCAUAGAAUGAAGACAAAUGCCUUUAGAGAAAUAGGCAAUCCUUUAAAAUCCUAGCAAGAAUCAUGCACCGUUAGAACUAGCCUAGCAUUGAGAAUUCAUGAUUCACGUUCAGUAGAAUGUAGAAUAUAGAGAUGAAAAACAUAUCAACCAAUGAAAAAAUUAAAAGAAAAAGGUAGGUAAUGCCACAGCUCUAAGUAGUUUAAUGAAAUCACCUAACAGUUAUUGAUACACCAGUUCAUUUCAUUUAUGUUAAAACUCAACUUAACUCAACUCAAUUAAAUUUUUAUCCCAAGA
RNAcentral lists this unclassified non-coding RNA (1540 nucleotides) under Hevea brasiliensis (rubber tree). The record is from RNAcentral. Lineage: Eukaryota; Viridiplantae; Streptophyta; Magnoliopsida; Malpighiales; Euphorbiaceae.